GUGCCAGCCGCCGCGGUAAUACGUAGGUGGCAAGCGUUGUCCGGAUUUAUUGGGCGUAAAGCGAGCGCAGGCGGUUUCUUAAGUCUGAUGUGAAAGCCUUCGGCUCAACCGAAGAAGUGCAUCGGAAACUGGGAAACUUGAGUGCAGAAGAGGACAGUGGAACUCCAUGUGUAGCGGUGAAAUGCGUAGAUAUAUGGAAGAACACCAGUGGCGAAGGCGGCUGUCUGGUCUGUAACUGACGCUGAGGCUCGAAAGCAUGGGUAGCAAACAGGAUUAGAUACCCUGGUAGUCCAUGCCGUAAACGAUGAGUGCUAGGUGUUGGAGGGUUUCCGCCCUUCAGUGCCGCAGCUAACGCAUUAAGCACUCCGCCUGGGGAGUACGACCGCAAGGUUGAAACUCAAAGGAAUUGACGGGGGCCCGCACAAGCGGUGGAGCAUGUGGUUUAAUUCGAAGCAACGCGAAGAACCUUACCAGGUCUUGACAUCCUUUGACCACUCUAGAGAUAGAGCUUUCCCUUCGGGGACAAAGUGACAGGUGGUGCAUGGUUGUCGUCAGCUCGUGUCGUGAGAUGUUGGGUUAAGUCCCGCAACGAGCGCAACCCUUAUUACUAGUUGCCAGCAUUUAGUUGGGCACUCUAGUGAGACUGCCGGUGACAAACCGGAGGAAGGUGGGGACGACGUCAAAUCAUCAUGCCCCUUAUGACCUGGGCUACACACGUGCUACAAUGGAUGGUACAACGAGUUGCGAGACCGCGAGGUUUAGCUAAUCUAUUUAAACCAUUAUCAAUUCGGAUUGUAGACUACAACUAGCCUACAUGAAACCUGAAUCGCUAGUAAUCCCGGAUCACCAUUCCUCGGAGAAUACGUUCCCCGGCCUUGUACACACCGCCCAU
RNAcentral lists this ribosomal RNA (892 nucleotides) under uncultured bacterium. RNAcentral's name for it is "bacterial SSU rRNA". It matches the Rfam family "Bacterial small subunit ribosomal RNA", at positions 505 to 1397 of the family's 1533-position model. The record is from RNAcentral.